Molecule: ribosomal RNA, 530 nt
Filed under: uncultured bacterium
Lineage: Bacteria
Description: bacterial SSU rRNA
Rfam family: Bacterial small subunit ribosomal RNA
Source: RNAcentral
GGUGCAAGCGUUGUUCGGAAUUAUUGGGCGUAAAGAGCGUGUAGGCGGCUGAAUAAGUCAGAUGUGAAAUCCCUGGGCUUAACUCAGGAAGUGCAUUUGAAACUAUUCAGCUUGAGUAGGGGAGAGGAAAGUGGAAUUCCUGGUGUAGAGGUGAAAUUCGUAGAUAUCAGGAGGAACACCGGUGGCGAAGGCGACUUUCUGGCCCUAUACUGACGCUGAGACGCGAGAGCGUGGGUAGCAAACAGGAUUAGAUACCCUGGUAGUCCACGCUGUAAACGAUGUUCACUAGGUGUUGGGGGUAUUGACCCUCUCAGUGCCGAAGCUAACGCAUUAAGUGAACCGCCUGGGGAGUACGGUCGCNAGAUUAAAACUCAAAGGAAUUGACGGGGGCCCGCACAAGCGGUGGAGCAUGUGGUUUAAUUCGAUGCAACGCGAAGAACUUACCUAGCUUGACAUCCCUGGAAUUCCCUGGAAACACCGAAUUCCUUUCCGGGAACCAAGAAACAAGUUGCUGCAUGCUGUCGUCACUC